This 253-nucleotide ribosomal RNA is filed under the name uncultured bacterium. RNAcentral's name for it is "partial 16S ribosomal RNA". It matches the Rfam family "Bacterial small subunit ribosomal RNA", at positions 524 to 776 of the family's 1533-position model. The record is from RNAcentral.
UACGAAGGGGGCUAGCGUUGCUCGGAAUUACUGGGCGUAAAGGGCGCGUAGGCGGGAUGGCAAGUCGGUCGUGAAAUCCCUCGGCUCAACUGAGGAUCGUCGAUCGAUACUGCCGUUCUUGAGGAUUGCAGAGGAGACUGGAAUUCCCGGUGUAGCGGUGAAAUGUGUAGAGAUCGGGAGGAACACCGGUGGCGAAGGCGGGUCUCUGGGCAAUUCCUGACGCUGAGGCGCGAAAGCGUGGGGAGCAAACGGG